Long non-coding RNA from Cyanistes caeruleus (blue tit), 650 nucleotides. RefSeq lists it as uncharacterized. NCBI's taxonomy places the organism in Eukaryota, Metazoa, Chordata, Aves, Passeriformes, Paridae. The record is from RefSeq and is a predicted model, not a curated record.
UGCAGGGAGGGCUCCCAGCAGGGCCCGGGCUCUGCUCCAGAGGCCCAGCAAUGGCACCAGAGCCACGGGCAGGGCCUGAGGCCUGCAAAGCUCCACCUGAACACAAGGCAGAACUUCUUCCCUGGGCAGUGACCGAGCCCUGAACGCAUUGCCCAGAGAGGCUGGGGAGUUUCUCUCACUGAGGUAUUCCAGAACCUGGACACAAUCCUGUGCCACGUGCUCUGGGAUGACCCUGCUGGAGCAGGCACAUUAGGACAGACAACCUACUGUGGUCCCUUCCAACCUGACCCAUCCUGGCAGACUGUGAAGCACAGCUUCCAUUUCCACUCCUGAAAUCUUAGGCUGCUGACAGAGAAGGAUCAGCCCAUUCCAGAGGAGCUACCCAGCAGUGUCUGAUCACAUCCUGCCUAAACACUGAACCCCCCUGCAAUCUGCUGCUCAUGUUCUUUUGACUUCCAGAACUGCUCUUCAUCACUGAAUGACAGUGUGGCAAUAGCCUUGAAAAAGGUGGUGACUUUACCAGCUCCGGAAGCGUCACAAGACAACCCUGAAAAUCAAUAUUGCUGUGUAAGAAACAGGGAUAGCAUAACAGGAACAGAAGAAGUUUAAAAACGCUUCUGUGCAGCUACAAAAUUUUUCUGGAGUCAUUU